Molecule: ribosomal RNA, 432 nt
Filed under: uncultured bacterium
Lineage: Bacteria
Description: partial 16S ribosomal RNA
Rfam family: Bacterial small subunit ribosomal RNA
Source: RNAcentral
ACGCACGCUGGCGGCAGGCCUAACACCUGCAAGUCGCGCGAGGACUUCGGUCCUAGCGGCGGACGGGUGAGUAACGCGUGGGAACGUGCCCUUUGCUUCGGAAUAGCCCUGGGAAACUGGGAGUAAUACCGGAUGAGCCCUUUGGGGGAAAGAUUUAUCGGCGAAGGAUCGGCCCGCGUUGGAUUAGGUAGUUGGUGGGGUAAUGGCCUACCAAGCCGACGAUCCAUAGCUGGUUUGAGAGGAUGAUCAGCCACACUGGGACUGAGACACGGCCCAGACUCCUACGGGAGGCAGCAGUGGGGAAUCUUAGACAAUGGGGGAAACCCUGAUCUAGCCAUGCCGCGUGAGCGAUGAAGGCCUUAGGGUUGUAAAGCUCUUUCAGCUGGGAAGAUAAUGACGGUACCAGCAGAAGAAGCCCCGGCUAACUCCGUG